AACGAACGCUGGCGGCAGGCCUAACACAUGCAAGUCGAACGCUGUAGCAAUACAGAGUGGCAGACGGGUGAGUAACGCGUGGGAACAUACCCUUCGGUUCGGAAUAACUCAGGGGAACUUGAGCUAAUACCGGAUACGUGCGAGAGCAGAAAGAUUCAUCGCCGAAGGAUUGGCCCGCGUUCGAUUAGCUUGUUGGUGAGGUAAUGGCUCACCAAGGCGACGAUCGAUAGCUGGUCUGAGAGGAUGAUCAGCCACAUUGGGACUGAGACACGGCCCAAACUCCUACGGGAGGCAGCAGUGGGGAAUAUUGGACAAUGGGCGAAAGCCUGAUCCAGCCAUGCCGCGUGAGUGAUGAAGGCCCUAGGGUUGUAAAGCUCUUUCGUCAGGGACGAUAAUGACGGUACCUGAAGAAG
RNAcentral lists this ribosomal RNA (413 nucleotides) under uncultured bacterium. Its description in RNAcentral is "bacterial SSU rRNA". It matches the Rfam family "Bacterial small subunit ribosomal RNA", at positions 29 to 487 of the family's 1533-position model. The record is from RNAcentral.